UUGCGUAAUCAAGUGCUCAAUUUAUUGUCGAAUUCGGUGCACUCUUUCCAACGAUUAGAUAGAUCGGAACGAAGAAAUCAGGAAAGGAAGAUGUUCACACUUCACAGUUCAUACUUCAUAGCCCAGAAGACGGAGAACUUUAACUUGGAGAUAUUGAUUAUGAUGAAGAUGAAAUGAUGAACUGAUGAAGUGAUGCAAAACAUUUGAAAUUACUACUUCACUAUAAAAAAUGUAAAC
RNAcentral lists this long non-coding RNA (237 nucleotides) under Nicotiana benthamiana. RNAcentral's name for it is "long non-coding RNA (NBEN_LNC024916)". The record is from RNAcentral. Lineage: Eukaryota; Viridiplantae; Streptophyta; Magnoliopsida; Solanales; Solanaceae.